AGAGUUUGAUCCUGGCUCAGGACGAACGCUGGCGGCGUGCCUAAUACAUGCAAGUCGAGCGAAUGAUGAGGAAGCUUGCUUCCUCUGAUUUAGCGGCGGACGGGUGAGUAACACGUGGGCAACCUACCUUAUAGUUUGGGAUAACUCCGGGAAACCGGGGCUAAUACCAAAUAAUCUCUUUCACUUCAUGGUGAAAGACURAAAGACGGUUUCGGCUGUCGCUAUAGGAUGGGCCCGCGGCGCAUUAGCUAGUUGGUGAGGUAACGGCUCACCAAGGCGACGAUGCGUAGCCGACCUGAGAGGGUGAUCGGCCACACUGGGACUGAGACACGGCCCAGACUCCUACGGGAGGCAGCAGUAGGGAAUCUUCCACAAUGGGCGAAAGCCUGAUGGAGCAACGCCGCGUGAGUGAAGAAGGAUUUCGGUUCGUAAAACUCUGUUGUAAGGGAAGAACAAGUACAGUAGUAACUGGCUGUACCUGACGGUACCUAUAGA
Molecule: ribosomal RNA, 495 nt
Filed under: Caryophanon sp. AKB-2008-4361A
Lineage: Bacteria; Bacillati; Bacillota; Bacilli; Caryophanales; Caryophanaceae
Description: bacterial SSU rRNA
Rfam family: Bacterial small subunit ribosomal RNA
Source: RNAcentral